This 253-nucleotide ribosomal RNA is filed under the name uncultured bacterium. RNAcentral's name for it is "partial 16S ribosomal RNA". It matches the Rfam family "Bacterial small subunit ribosomal RNA", at positions 524 to 776 of the family's 1533-position model. The record is from RNAcentral.
UACGUAGGGGGCAAGCGUUGUCCGGAUUUAUUGGGCGUAAAGAGCGUGUAGGCGGCUUUACAGGUCCGUUGUGAAAACUCGAGGCUCAACCUCGAGACGCCGGUGGAAACCGUAAGGCUAGAGUCCGGAAGAGGAGAGUGGAAUUCCUGGUGUAGCGGUGAAAUGCGCAGAUAUCGUAAGGAAGACCAGUGGCGAAGGCGGGUCUCUGGACAGUUCCUGACACUGAGACACGAAGGCCAGGGGAGCAAACGGG